RNAcentral lists this ribosomal RNA (512 nucleotides) under uncultured bacterium. Its description in RNAcentral is "partial 16S ribosomal RNA". It matches the Rfam family "Bacterial small subunit ribosomal RNA", at positions 28 to 523 of the family's 1533-position model. The record is from RNAcentral.
GACGAACGCUGGUGGCGUGCCUAAUACAUGCAAGUCGAGCGGACCAAUAGAAGCUUGCUUCUGUUGGUUAGCGGCGGACGGGUGAGUAACACGUGGGCAACCUGCCUGUAAGACUGGGAUAACUUCGGGAAACCGGAGCUAAUACCGGAUAAUUCAUCCCCUCGCAUGAGGGGAUGCUGAAAGUCGGUUUACGCUGACACUUACAGAUGGGCCCGCGGCGCAUUAGCUAGUUGGUGAGGUAAUGGCUCACCAAGGCGACGAUGCGUAGCCGACCUGAGAGGGGAAUCGGCCAGACUGAGACUGAGACACGGCCCAGACUCCUACGGGAGGCAGCAGUAGGGAAUCGUCCACAAUGGACGAAAGUCUGAUGGAGCAACGCCGCGUGAGCGAUGAAGGCCUUCGGGUCGUAAAGCUCUGUUGUUAGGGAAGAACAAGUAUCGGAGUAACUGCCGGUACCUUGACGGUACCUAACCAGAAAGCCACGGCUAACUACGUGCCAGCCGCCGCGGUAA